UUUCCGUGGACUGCCUAUGAGAGGGGCACGGUAACCCAAUUAUAUAUUUACCUCCAGGGGGAGAUGUUGGAUGAAGUAUCUCCUGAGGUAAAGAUUUGAGUACACUUCACGUGGACCACCGCAUGAGAGUGAGACUCAACCAACGCCAAGGCAUGGCUAAAAUUUCGGAUGUAAAGACAUUUAACAGCCUUGGUAGAGUCGAUUGGGAUAACCCUCGAUCAAGGUAUCCCUGAUAACUGAGUAUGAGAAUGAUUUUUGGUACGAGCCAAGCUUUUCAGGAAAUCAUAAGCCUAGUUGUUUAUUUGGUUGAAAUGAGUUGAAAGGUAAUG
This 329-nucleotide long non-coding RNA is filed under the name Theobroma cacao (cacao). RNAcentral describes it as "long non-coding RNA (TCAC_LNC001580)". Lineage: Eukaryota; Viridiplantae; Streptophyta; Magnoliopsida; Malvales; Malvaceae. The record is from RNAcentral.